ACUUAACACUACGGCGCUACAAACUCGGUUUUUCAUUUGCAAACUUUAUUUAAAAAAUGUUAUGUGAUAGAAAGUUAGUUUUGUAAGAUCAUUUUAUUAAGUAUAUAUACCAGACCUUUUUACAGGUAGCUGUGUCUACCUCUAUAGGAUGUCAGUUAACCCAGAUAUACCAAGUAUAUCUUGGAGUUAACUAUAACAUGUAUUUAUUACUCUGGAUGAAUAAAUAAAUAUAUAAAUAGAAAAACAGUGUUUUUUGGGACAUCCCCUUAACAUUAUAGCUUAGGCAAUUUUGGCAGUCCGCCCUUGUCACUGGCGGACCGACGCGCCGCCUGGCGGACCACCACGACGUGGCGAGCGCGAGCUCCAAUUGGAAUUUGCAGUGCAGAAGAGAGACCUCAAUCUUUAUAUUUAUAUUUAGUCCUGCUGAGUCUGACGACUGACCUCCUAGUCUGUUUGAUCGUAGCAGACAACCGUGAACCGACGAAAAAGAUAAAGAAAAUAAUAUAAGAAGUUUAAUACCUCUUAUUCGGCUGAUAUUAUUUGCGGCGCAAAAAAUAAAAGUAGAAGAAACAAGGCUUAAUUAUGGUUGAAUCAACAGUUAUUGUUCACACUUUUUUGUGGACAUUUAUGAUUGCUGCGAUUUCUACAGAUUUUUUUAAUGGAAGAUUCGAUUUAUGUGGGCCUUAUCCACGAAGACCACUGCAGGAUAAGAAUCAGGAUCGAUGGCCAAAAAAGGACUAACUGAAUGGUUGAAGAAAUUAUUAAUGAAAUAGGUCAAUUUAUAAUAAAAUGUAAUGUAUGAUAAAUAAAUUGUUUUCGACCAA
Molecule: long non-coding RNA, 824 nt
Organism: Nasonia vitripennis (jewel wasp)
Lineage: Eukaryota; Metazoa; Arthropoda; Insecta; Hymenoptera; Pteromalidae
Exons: 2
Source: RefSeq, a predicted model, not a curated record